GUGCUUCAAUCCGAAGUUGAAGACGACGCUGCACCUCUAGCUGCUCAUGCAGUCUUCGUUGGACUUCCAUCUGCACCCGCAAUGCCUCAGUAACCUGGUAACCGUCGUUUAGAUCCUGUGCUAUCAAUCUUGAUGACGUUGAUGUUGAUGAACCAGUAUCCUGACUUUCUGCAACAGAUACAUCCUUAGAAUUAUCAUUUGAUUCUUUGCAAGAUUGCCUUCCCAACCGGUAUUUCUGUAGGUGAGAUUUUAAGUGAUACAGGGUAAGGCCCUUUACCCCCAUUGUUCUCAUAAUAGUCUUUGGUGUUGCUUUGUCAGGUCCACCCAGCUGGGUUACAGCAUCGACAAA
RNAcentral lists this unclassified non-coding RNA (349 nucleotides) under Hevea brasiliensis (rubber tree). The record is from RNAcentral. Lineage: Eukaryota; Viridiplantae; Streptophyta; Magnoliopsida; Malpighiales; Euphorbiaceae.